AACUUAGUAAUUUAUUUAAAAUAUUAAACUGCAAGUUUAAAAAAGGGGUUGUUAAUCUUCUAGGUUU
Molecule: transfer RNA, 67 nt
Filed under: Falcolipeurus suturalis
Lineage: Eukaryota; Metazoa; Arthropoda; Insecta; Psocodea; Philopteridae
Description: tRNA-Cys
Source: RNAcentral